UAGUAUAUCUAAACUAUAUCUUAUAGAAUUAUCUUAACACUCCCCCUCAAGCUGGAGCAUAUAUAUCAUAUGCAUCUAGCUUGUUACAUAUAUAUGUUAUCCUAGGACCUCGUAAAGAUUUAGUAAAGAUAUCUGCAAGUUGAUCCUUGGAGCAAACUGAGGAGGUCUUGAUGAUACCGGAGAGGAUCUUUUCUCUGAUGAAAUGGCAGUCAACCUCUAUAUGCUUUGUUCUCUCAUGAAAAACUGGAUUAGAGAAGAGGUAUAAAGCUGACUGGUUAUCACAAAC
Non-coding RNA from Cajanus cajan (pigeon pea), 286 nucleotides. The record is from RefSeq and is a predicted model, not a curated record. NCBI's taxonomy places the organism in Eukaryota, Viridiplantae, Streptophyta, Magnoliopsida, Fabales, Fabaceae.